Molecule: ribosomal RNA, 678 nt
Filed under: uncultured bacterium
Lineage: Bacteria
Description: bacterial SSU rRNA
Rfam family: Bacterial small subunit ribosomal RNA
Source: RNAcentral
ACUCCUACGGGAGGCUGCAGUGGGGAAUAUUGCACAAUGGGCGAAAGCCUGAUGCAGCAACGCCGCGUGAGGGACGACGGCCUUCGGGUUGUAAACCUCUUUUAGUAGGGAAGAAGCGUAAAAGUGACGGUACCUGCAGAAAAAGCACCGGCUAACUACGUGCCAGCAGCCGCGGUAAUACGUAGGGUGCAAGCGUUGUCCGGAAUUAUUGGGCGUAAAGAGCUCGUAGGCGGUUUGUCGCGUCUGCUGUGAAAACCCGAGGCUCAACCUCGGGCCUGCAGUGGGUACGGGCAGACUAGAGUGCGGUAGGGGAGAUUGGAAUUCCUGGUGUAGCGGUGGAAUGCGCAGAUAUCAGGAGGAACACCAAUGGCGAAGGCAGAUCUCUGGGCCGUAACUGACGCUGAGGAGCGAAAGCAUGGGGAGCGAACAGGAUUAGAUACCCUGGUAGUCCAUGCCGUAAACGUUGGGAACUAGAUGUGGGGACCAUUCCACGGUCUCCGUGUCGCAGCUAACGCAUUAAGUUCCCCGCCUGGGGAGUACGGCCGCAAGGCUAAAACUCAAAGGAAUUGACGGGGGCCCGCACAAGCGGCGGAGCAUGCGGAUUAAUUCGAUGCAACGCGAAGAACCUUACCAAGGCUUGACAUAUAGAGGAAACGUCUGGAAACAGUCGCCCCGCAA